This 379-nucleotide ribosomal RNA is filed under the name uncultured cyanobacterium. RNAcentral's name for it is "bacterial SSU rRNA". It matches the Rfam family "Bacterial small subunit ribosomal RNA", at positions 376 to 770 of the family's 1533-position model. Lineage: Bacteria; Bacillati; Cyanobacteriota. The record is from RNAcentral.
CGAAAGCCUGACGGAGCAACGCCGCGUGUGGGAAGAAGGCCUUUGGGCUGUCAACCACUUUUCUCAGGGAAGAAGACCUGACGGUACCUGAGGAAUCAGCCUCGGCUAACUCCGUGCCAGCAGCCGCGGUAAUACGGAGGAGGCAAGCGUUAUUCGGAAUUAUUGGGCGUAAAGCGUCCGCAGGGGGCUCAUCAAGUCUGCUGUCAAAGGUCGGAGCUCAACUCCGACCCGGCAGUGGAAACUGGGGAGCUAGAGGGCGGCAGGGGCAGAAGGAAUUCCCGGUGUAGCGGUGAAAUGCGUAGAUAUCGGGAAGAACACCAGAGGCGAAAGCGCUCUACUGGGUCGCACCUGACCCUCAGGGACGAAAGCUAAGGUAGCG